RNAcentral lists this ribosomal RNA (253 nucleotides) under uncultured bacterium. RNAcentral describes it as "partial 16S ribosomal RNA". It matches the Rfam family "Bacterial small subunit ribosomal RNA", at positions 524 to 776 of the family's 1533-position model. The record is from RNAcentral.
GACGUAGGGCGCGAGCGUUGUCCGGAUUUAUUGGGCGUAAAGAGCUCGUAGGCGGCUUGUCGCGUCGUUCGUGAAAACUCACAGCUCAACUGUGAGCUUGCGGUCGAUACGGGCAGGCUAGAGUCCGGAAGAGGAGAGUGGAAUUCCCGGUGUAGCGGUGAAAUGCGCAGAUAUCGGGAAGAACACCCGUGGCGAAGGCGGCUCUCUGGGACGGUACUGACGCUGAGACGCGAAAGCGUGGGGAGCGAACAGG